CCUACGGGAGGCUGCAGUGAGGAAUAUUGGUCAAUGGCCGGAAGGCUGAACCAGCGACGCCGCGUGAAGGACGGAGGUGCCAAGCAUUGUAAACUUCUGUUGUGAGGGGACAAAAUCAGGCGCGAGAGCCUGACGGAGGGGAGUUGAAGAAAAAGCAUCGGCUAACUGCGGUCCAGCAGCCGCGGUAAUAGGUGGGAGGCGAGGGUUAUCCGGAUGUGUGGGGUGGAAAGGGUGCGUAGGCGGUCUGUUAGGUCAGCGGUAAAGGCCCGGGGCUCAACCGCGGCGAGCAGUUGAGACUGGCUGUCUUGAGAAGUCGAGAGGUAUGCGGAAUGCGCAGUGUAGCGGUGAAAUGCUUAGAUAUUGCGAAGAACUCUGAUUGCGAAGGCAGGAUACCGGA
This 397-nucleotide ribosomal RNA is filed under the name uncultured bacterium. RNAcentral describes it as "partial 16S ribosomal RNA". It matches the Rfam family "Bacterial small subunit ribosomal RNA", at positions 338 to 733 of the family's 1533-position model. The record is from RNAcentral.